Pristionchus pacificus is the source of this 61-nucleotide non-coding RNA. The record is from Rfam. NCBI's taxonomy places the organism in Eukaryota, Metazoa, Nematoda, Chromadorea, Rhabditida, Neodiplogasteridae.
UCUUCAUAUUCCACACUCUCUCACCGGUCAGAGAAGCGAGAGAGUGUACGAAAUGAAGAAA